AACGAACGCUGGCGGCGCGCCUAAUACAUGCAAGUCGAGCGAGAAGGUGUAGCAAUACACUUGUAAAGCGGCGAACGGGUGAGGAAUGCAUGGGUAACCUACCCUCGAGUGGGGAAUAACUAGCCGAAAGGUUAGCUAAUACCGCAUACGUUUCCGGAACUUCGGUUUCGGAAAGAAAGCAAUACCGUGGGUAUUGCGCUCCUGGAUGGGCUCAUGUCCUAUCAGCUUGUUGGUGAGGUAACGGCUCACCAAGGCUUCGACGGGUAGCUGGUCUGAGAGGACGAUCAGCCACACUGGCACUGCGACACGGGCCAGACUCCUACGGGAGGCAGCAGUAAGGAAUAUUGCGCAAUGGACAAAGUCUGACGCAGCGACGCCGCGUGGGGGAUGAAGGUCUUCGGGAUUGUAAACCCCUUUCGGGAGGGAAGAUGGAGUGGGUAACCACUUGGACGGUACCUCCAGGAGCAGCCACGGCUAAC
Molecule: ribosomal RNA, 479 nt
Filed under: uncultured bacterium
Lineage: Bacteria
Description: bacterial SSU rRNA
Rfam family: Bacterial small subunit ribosomal RNA
Source: RNAcentral